Coffea arabica (coffee) is the source of this 2582-nucleotide non-coding RNA. Lineage: Eukaryota; Viridiplantae; Streptophyta; Magnoliopsida; Gentianales; Rubiaceae. The record is from RefSeq and is a predicted model, not a curated record.
AGUAAAGAAAAGGGAAAAGAAAAGGGAAAACGCCUUUCACUUCCAAUGUCUCCUUCAUUCUCCGCUAAUUUCAAAACCCCCCACUUCUUUCUUCUAAACUCUAAAUUCUGAUUCCAAAUUCCCAAUGAACUUGUCUCGCUUUCUGUCUCUCUCUCUCUCAAAUGGUCAAAUCUAAUUCCACCUCCUCCAUUUUCCACCCAAUACGGCCAACGAAUAUGCGGCAACCACCUUCAUCUUUGAGAUACAGAGGAAAUCUGGAAGAGUAGAUUGAUUGAUUGCUAAUUGGUUUUGACGCCUGAAGCUAGGGUUUUAACGCGAGGAAGAUGGACCUCUUCCAUUUUUAUUCUCAGCAGUUGAAGUCGAUUCCCAAUUGCAGUGUUUCUUCCUUGUUGUUGUAUCUCUCUUUGUUGCUCUUCUUCUUUGUCUCUUUCCAAUUCUAAAGACUCGAUCACAUUCUCAAAGGAAUAUGUUUCAGGUCACUUUGCCAAAAGUGAAUAAAUUGGUUUUCACUGGCUGGAUUUGCUUCUCCAUGUAAUUUUUAUCAUCGGUGAACUAAUUUUAGCUUUGAGAGAACUUACCCAACAAUUUUGCUAGCUAUUCUGGUUCAAAAGCAAGGGGAGAUAAUAGGAGUUUACUCUCGUUUUAAAGAGUCCAGCCCAUAUUGCAGAUGGACAAUGGAAUCGCCUGAGCAACUCAAUACAGUCGUUGUCUUGAAACAACGAGAUAGCAGCCGUUGGCAGAAGAUUAAUACAUGCAAUGGCUUCUAGUUGGCUAUAUCCCAAAUAAGCUUAUAAACCCAGGAUGCAGACUGAAGGCUGGACUGGCUGAACUCUGGGAAUCAUUUGCAUCUGUGUCACUAGAAAGUGCUGGCUGCUGCAUUGCAAUGUUCGGUGAACUAGCAGAAUUCGUGUGCAUUCUAGUCGGUAAGCCACCAAGUGAAGUCUGUGGAGGAUCGUUAGAUGAUGAUGCCGUUGGAGACUGGAAAGGAGAAGGAUUGAGUUGCGGUUGUAGCAAGGUACUCAAGGAACACUAGGAGAUGGCAUCUGAACACCAUUUCCUCCGUAAGGACCAUUUGCGCUACUCUUCUGGUUUUUACUGUCUCGAGUUCAUUGAGUUUUGAUGACGCAGCCCAGUUAUAUAUGGCACUAGUAGAGGAAGUUGCAGGAGCCGAAUUCAGUGGAUUAUUUACAUUUGCCAUGCCAUUUCUGGAAGGAAGUUGCAAUUAUUACGAAAAAUGUUUCAAUGUGGCCUAGCCAUAUUGAAACGUGAUGACUUUUGCAAAAUUGGUUGAAAUUAGGAACUACUUGUGCCUUUUGGAAUUAGGUUAUGAUGAUGAAUUUGGAAAUUUGCAGUGAUUGUUUCCAUUUAGAUAGUGAAUUGAAUUACUUACUUGAAAGGGAAAUGUACUACAAGCAUGAAAAAUAAUUCAUAAAAUAUGCAAAAAGUGUAAUUCACUGCAGUGCAUCUGUUUCUUGAAGGAGACUAUUUAAUAUUUGUGACGCAAUUUUUGUGCCGCAUGAUUAUUUGCGGCACAAUUUUUGUGCCGCUUGCAUAUUUUGUGGCACUAAUAUGUGUCACUAAUUGAGCCGCAAAUGCUUGCGACACAUUUAAACAAAGUGUCGUUUUCUUUUGUAACGGCUACUUUUGAGGCACAAAGGAAUUGUGCCACAAAAGCGCCGCAAAUACUUUUUUGCGGCGCUUUUUGGGCUUUUUGUGGCACAUUCUUGGCGUCGCAACAAGCCAUAUUUCUUGUAAGGAUCAGCAGGGAGACUUCAAAAGGUGGUGGCUAAGAAUCUCAGAAGCAAGGCACAGGUCAGAGGGGAUGGAACACAUUGGAUUAACUGCAAACAUCCUGUGGCAGGUGUGGAAAGAAAAAAAUAAAAGAGAAUUCGAGAACACUACCCUUGUUCCUCCAUUCAAAUAUAUAGGGAAGGCACAUUCUGAAUGGUUAGAGCAGCUGCAGCUAGAGUACAAGGAGAAAGGAGAGAGCACAGAAGAAACAGUCCCUAGGCAAGAUGUACAGGAUCAGAAUUAUGUAAAUGAAGGAGAAGUGCUAAUGGAGAUGACUACAACCACGAAGCAAGGGCAGCUAUUUGCGGGAAUUGGAGUCACAGUUAAGAUUUUUGCAAGUAAUAUGAUGAUAGGGUGGGCACUGAAAGACAUUAGUUCCGGUAACAAACUCCUAGAUGAAGCUCUGGCACUGAAGUUGGUGUUGUGUAAAGCUGUACAACGAAAGUGGAGCAAACUUAAGCUGAGAUUUUGUAACAAGGAAUUGUGGAGACAAUUAAAACAUCAGAACCCAGCGGACAGCAAAAUGGCAACAGUACUUGAAGACAUCUCUCAGUUACAGAGAUUGUUUUGCAUGUGCUCUUUUGGUUUGUAUAGGGAAGAAAAUAUGAUAGUUAGUAAAAAAAUGAGUGCUGAUGCUUUAAGCAUUAUUGUGGAUGAGGAGCGACAGCUUCCUCAGUGUCUUUGAACACUAGUUGUAGAGUUUCGAUCGAGCCGUUGCUCGUACAUGUAAUUUUUUACCAUUAAAGCAAUGAAAUCAUGACAAAAAAAAAUGAAUGCCCUGAUUCAAAGGC